This is a long non-coding RNA of Hibiscus syriacus, 756 nucleotides long. RefSeq lists it as uncharacterized. The record is from RefSeq and is a predicted model, not a curated record. Lineage: Eukaryota; Viridiplantae; Streptophyta; Magnoliopsida; Malvales; Malvaceae. The transcript has 3 exons.
AUUAUUUUUUCACAAUCUAAACCUGAGACAAACUUUAAAAUAAAAUCCCCAAAUAUAAUACCCUCCGUCGCUACUCGUCUCAUCACCGUUCAAGCUUCGUCCGAUCGUCAUGAUUGUUACCUACCAGUGUGUACUCCUGGCCGUCGUGAUCAAAACCCACCCGAUUGAUCGUUGUAAAGGUCUGUCAUUCGUCGUGAAUCGACGUUUGAAGCUUCGUCUAAAAACCUAGCCAUCGUCAUUGUUUUUUGUCGCUUUCACGUCGAUUCCUAGCUCCGUUGGUCACACCGCCACCGCCAUUGAACUCCUCGAGUGAUUCCGACCAAAACUCGACCAUCGUUGUCACCUCACCGUCUCAUUUGCUUCGUCCACCGUUGGGCUUGGGGAGUAAUUGGCCAUUGUCCCAAUUGUUUUUGCCCGCCGCACAUGUCACACGCACCACCCCUUGCACGCGAGGGUUGUUUUUCGCCUUGGUAGUUUCCACAAUCGGUCUGGACCAAUCUAGACCUCCCGAACCAAUCGAACCGAUCUGGUUUGUGAUGAAUCGAGCCAAGCCGCGCCUGAGUCAAGCCAUUGAUCUGACCGUUGACCGAGCAUUGACUUUUUCAAGACCACCUAGUUUUUUUAUGUCUCGAGUCUGUUUUCCCGUCCGUUUCACCAAAUUCGAAAUUGGUUAAAGAAUCGAUCUUGUAUAAUAUCGACAUCAGUAUGGGAGUUCCUCUAGCAUUGCUUAUGAGUACGAUACAUGUAUGAUUAGGG